AGAUAGAGAAAGCAAGAAUCAAUCUAAAAUGGUAUCGUUAUGCUGCUGAAUUAAAAGGCAACAGAUGAUCCCUAGGGACAUGCUCAUCAGAUCUGUGCAGAUCAUACAUACCAAGAUAAUUUGUGAGAUCCCAAAACAUUCCCGAAAGAAAUUAAGAACUUAAAAGAAAAAAGGUGGUAAAAGCGUGACUCAUGCAUAGACCAGAAUUGGAAAUUAGGGAAAAAAGAGCAUUGGCAUUAAAGUAAAUGUGGGCGUAAUACACAGAUCUGAUAAGUAAGAUUAUGGAUAAGCUUAAACCAGCAAAGGCGGAGCCAAAAGAUGGAAAUGAAAAGGCACACUCAGAUCCAGAUCUGACCCAAAACAGCAAAAAAUUGGAGAGAUUAAAGAUGAUACUUACCCGUUCCUGCUGAGGGAACCUAUU
This 421-nucleotide unclassified non-coding RNA is filed under the name Hevea brasiliensis (rubber tree). Lineage: Eukaryota; Viridiplantae; Streptophyta; Magnoliopsida; Malpighiales; Euphorbiaceae. The record is from RNAcentral.